GUACCAAAGGGGUGUUUUCGAAAUCCCCAAAGAAAGGUACCAAAAUAAACCCCAAAAGAGCAACCAAAAUAACCAGUUGAGUCACCGUCACAACGGUGAACAAAAGCAAGCCAAAACAAAUUCAAAUUAUAGCAAGUUAAGGAAUUUUGGAGUUGACCAAGCAAAGCAAAAUUCAAAUUUAAACCAAAUUAAAUUAUCCAACACCAUCCAGUCAUAACCAACAAAUAAAAAAAACAACCAACCAAAAAAGCCCCCGUUGUAAACCAAAAACAGACAAUGGAGUAUGUGGAGGGAAGGGAGAGAGAAGGCAGAGAGAAACAAAGACACUACUCAGACUAAAGAGAACAGCUUGAGGAGACAAACAGGGAGAUGAACCAUUUGACAGGAAGGAAGGAGACUUACCUCCCCAAGACGUGGGGGCAGCUGAUGGUCCUGAGGGACCCGAGGAGGACAGUGGAUCCAGGUCCAACAAGGAACUGGAGAAGGAGGCAGAAACAGAGAGCGAUCGACAGUCAGUUCAUCAUCCUUUGCAGAAGCUUUCCUUGCCCAAAUGGGACAAAAGUUUUCUACAAACUGGGUUGAACAGUGGCUUCUUGCAGCAGAUACUGUGAUAUAGUUCUUACCGUGAGAGCCGGUUUUGUCGAUAAAGUUGCUGAGGUUGAACAGGGAGGUCCUGGAAGCCAAGUACUGAAUGAACCUCUGAGGAAGAGAAAGGGAAACACAAUAAAC
Molecule: long non-coding RNA, 729 nt
Organism: Sebastes umbrosus (honeycomb rockfish)
Lineage: Eukaryota; Metazoa; Chordata; Actinopteri; Perciformes; Sebastidae
Exons: 4
Source: RefSeq, a predicted model, not a curated record